UACGUAGGGUGCGAGCGUUAAUCGGAAUUACUGGGCGUAAAGCGUGUGCAGGCGGUCUGUUAAGACAGGUGUGAAAUCCCCGGGCUUAACCUGGGAAUUGCGCUUGUUACUGGCAGACUAGAGUGCGUCAGAGGGAGGUGGAAUUCCACGUGUAGCAGUGAAAUGCGUAGAGAUGUGGAGGAACACCGAUGGCGAAGGCAGCCUCCUGGGAUGACACUGACGCUCGUACACGAAAGCGUGGGGAGCAAACAGG
Molecule: ribosomal RNA, 253 nt
Filed under: uncultured bacterium
Lineage: Bacteria
Description: partial 16S ribosomal RNA
Rfam family: Bacterial small subunit ribosomal RNA
Source: RNAcentral